AACAAGGCGUACCUGCGGACCUGCGGAAGGAUCAUUACCGAGUUUACAACUCCCAAACCCAAUGUGAACGUUACCAAACUGUUGCCUCGGCGGGAUCUCUGCCCCGGGUGCGUCGCAGCCCCGGACCAAGGCGCCCGCCGGAGGACCAACCAAAACUCUUUUGUAUACCCCCUCGCGGGUUUUUUAUAUCUGAGCCAUCUCGGCGCCUCUCGUAGGCGUUUCGAAAAUGAAUCAAAACUU
Molecule: unclassified non-coding RNA, 240 nt
Filed under: soil metagenome
Description: partial contains 5.8S ribosomal RNA, internal transcribed spacer 2, and large subunit ribosomal RNA
Source: RNAcentral